GCAGUCGCGGUUAAACCAAGAUGAUCGAGUCAUAUCACUUUGGUGAAAAAACAGUUAAAUUAAAUUCAUGUUUAUUAAACGUUUAUAGAAAAGUAAAAUUUGGUCAUAAACAAGAAAUCUAAUUUAAACUUAAAUAUUGAAGCUGUGAAAGCCUCGAGGGAAACUGGGAUUAGAUACCCCAUUAUUCUUGGAUGUAAACUGAUUUUUAUCUACCAGAGCACUAUGAAUUAAAUAUUUAAAACUUAAAGGGCUUGGCGGUGUUUUAGACCUCUCAGGGGAACCUGUCUCAUAAUCGACAAUCCACGGUAAACCUAACCCUUUUUCGUGUACCAGCUUGUAUACCGUCGUCGCCAGGUAACUUUUUAGAAAAAAGAAGUUAGCAAGAAAAUAAAAUAGGUUUUUACGUCAGAUCAAGGUGCAGCUAAUAAAAGGGGGAGGAUGGGUUACAAUUAUAAAAUUAUAACAACGAAAAGUUAUUUGAAAUAAAAACAGGAAGGAGGACUUGAAAGUAAGACGGAAUAUAUAAACGUUCUGAAUAAGGCUCUGAAACGUGCACACAUCGCCCG
This 566-nucleotide ribosomal RNA is filed under the name Azumamorula mutica. RNAcentral's name for it is "Morula mutica partial 12S ribosomal RNA". It matches the Rfam family "Microsporidia small subunit ribosomal RNA", at positions 396 to 1198 of the family's 1311-position model. The record is from RNAcentral. Lineage: Eukaryota; Metazoa; Mollusca; Gastropoda; Neogastropoda; Muricidae.